This 468-nucleotide ribosomal RNA is filed under the name uncultured bacterium. Its description in RNAcentral is "bacterial SSU rRNA". It matches the Rfam family "Bacterial small subunit ribosomal RNA", at positions 329 to 794 of the family's 1533-position model. The record is from RNAcentral.
CCCCAGACUCCUACGGGAGGCAGCAGUGAGGAAUAUUGGUCAAUGGGCGAGAGCCUGAACCAGCCAAGUCGCGUGAGGGAGUACUGCCCUAUGGGUUGUAAACCUCUUUUGCCGGGGAGCAACGGGGUCCUUGCGAGGGCCCGAUGAGAGUACCCGGAGAAAAAGCAUCGGCUAACUCCGUGCCAGCAGCCGCGGUAAUACGGAGGAUGCGAGCGUUAUCCGGAUUUAUUGGGUUUAAAGGGUGCGUAGGCGGGCUGUUAAGUCAGCGGUCAAAUGUCGGGGCUCAACCCCGGCCUGCCGUUGAAACUGGCGGCCUCGAGUGGGCGAGAAGUAUGCGGAAUGCGUGGUGUAGCGGUGAAAUGCAUAGAUAUCGCGCAGAACUCCGAUUGCGAAGGCAGCAUGCCGGCUCCACACUGACGCUGAGGCACGAAAGCGUGGGUAUCGAACAGGAUUAGAUACCCGCGUAGC